This 477-nucleotide ribosomal RNA is filed under the name uncultured bacterium. RNAcentral describes it as "bacterial SSU rRNA". It matches the Rfam family "Bacterial small subunit ribosomal RNA", at positions 29 to 526 of the family's 1533-position model. The record is from RNAcentral.
AUUGAACGCUGGCGGCAUGCCUUACACAUGCAAGUCGAACGGUAACGCGGGGCAACCUGGCGACGAGUGGCGAACGGGUGAGUAAUGCAUCGGAACGUACCCAGUAGUGGGGGAUAGCCCGGCGAAAGCCGGAUUAAUACCGCAUACGACCUAAGGGUGAAAGCGGGGGACCGUAAGGCCUUGCGCUAUUGGAGCGGCCGAUGUCAGAUUAGGUAGUUGGUGGGGUAAAGGCCUACCAAGCCUUCGAUCUGUAGCUGGUCUGAGAGGACGACCAGCCACACUGGGACUGAGACACGGCCCAGACUCCUACGGGAGGCAGCAGUGGGGAAUUUUGGACAAUGGGCGAAAGCCUGAUCCAGCAAUGCCGCGUGUGUGAAGAAGGCCUGCGGGUUGUAAAGCACUUUCAGUAGGGAAGAUUAUGACGGUACCUACAGAAGAAGCACCGGGCUAACUCCGUGCCAGCAGCCGCGGUAAUGU